This 392-nucleotide ribosomal RNA is filed under the name unidentified chimeric sequence. RNAcentral describes it as "bacterial SSU rRNA". It matches the Rfam family "Bacterial small subunit ribosomal RNA", at positions 8 to 416 of the family's 1533-position model. The record is from RNAcentral.
AGAGUUUGAUCCUGGCUCAGAGUGAACGCUGGCGGCACGCCUAACACAUGCAAGUCGAGCGAUAAGCUAACUUCGGUUAGUGGACAGCGGCGGACGGGUGAGUAUCGCGUGGGAAUUUACCAUAGAGUGGGGGACAACUGCUGGAAACGGCAGCUAAUACCGCAUACGCCCUAAGGGGGAAAGGCUUCGGCCGCUCAAUGAGAAGCCCGCGUACGAUUAGUUUGUUGGUGGGGUAAUGGCCUACCAAGACUACGAUCGUUAGCUGGUCUGAGAGGACGAUCAGCCACACUGGGACUGAGACACGGCCCAGACUCCUACGGGAGGCAGCAGUGGGGAAUAUUGGACAAUGGGCGAAAGCCUGAUCCAGCGAUGCCGCGUGAGUGAAGAAGGCC